Anguilla rostrata (American eel) is the source of this 448-nucleotide long non-coding RNA. RefSeq lists it as uncharacterized. The record is from RefSeq and is a predicted model, not a curated record. Lineage: Eukaryota; Metazoa; Chordata; Actinopteri; Anguilliformes; Anguillidae. The transcript has 4 exons.
UAUAAAGCGUGUGCUCUGUGCUGAGUCCACACAAAUCCAACCUCCAGAAUUUCAUUGCUUGGAAAUAUUUUAUUUAUUUGGAAAAGCCAGAGUCCACCAUGCGUCCUAUAACCUUAGCGAUAUUUUUCAUUGGACUGAUUGGAAUGUGUUCAAUGCUUCCUCUGACUGACAGUGACUCUGACGAGCUUCAAAGAAUUGAACGUUCAGCCAGCUUUGAGCGUUUUGGACGCUUUCCCUUCCGUGGAUAUGGCGGGGGCAGAUCUAGCCUCUUUUCCCUGCUGCUGCCCUUUCUGCUGAAAAGGCUGCUGCCCCCGGCAACCCCAGCCCCCGGCAAGUAACUGUGCCAACCAUCACCAUGCAGAGGGAGGAAAAUGCCAGUUCUUCUUCUACUGUCCGAUGCCCAGUGGCCACUGCUUGAUGUCAUUUGUAUUGCAAUUCAUUAAAUGUG